GGUUGGUCCGAGUGCAGUGGUGUUUACAACUGAUUGAUCACAACCAGUUGCAGAUUCCUUUGUUCCUUCUCCAUUCCCACUGCUUCACUUGACCAGCCUUAA
RNAcentral lists this Y RNA (102 nucleotides) under Propithecus coquereli (Coquerel's sifaka). RNAcentral describes it as "Y RNA (ENSPCOG00000006154.1)". It matches the Rfam family "Y RNA". From Rfam's summary of the family: Y RNAs are components of the Ro ribonucleoprotein particle (Ro RNP), in association with Ro60 and La proteins. The Y RNAs and Ro60 and La proteins are well conserved, but the function of the Ro RNP is not known. Lineage: Eukaryota; Metazoa; Chordata; Mammalia; Primates; Indriidae. The record is from Rfam by way of RNAcentral.